Molecule: long non-coding RNA, 1915 nt
Organism: Myzus persicae (green peach aphid)
Lineage: Eukaryota; Metazoa; Arthropoda; Insecta; Hemiptera; Aphididae
Exons: 3
Source: RefSeq, a predicted model, not a curated record
UGUUAUUUAUUUAUUUAAAAAAAAUAUACAUCAGUAUUACCUCAGUAUCUUAUCUAUACCUGCCUAUACCAGCUACGCUUAUGGUUGAUAUUUUUUAAGAAAGUAAGUAUGACAAGGUAUGAAAUGUUUAUCAGUUUGUAGUAAUAUUUUCGAGUAUUCAAUAAAGAGGACGGGAAUGGGGAUGCGAAUAACCCACCCGUGGUUGUGUUACGUAUAAUAAUAUUAAUUAUAGCUAUAUGGACGCAAUUUAUUUUUAUGUUACCAGACUUCAACUAUUUCUUUUCUGAGUCAAGCAAUACAGUAAGUUGUGGUUUAGUAUUAUAUUUCAUUUUCAUUUAUGUUUGGUUAUAAUAUAAGAAAUUGAAUUUUUUCGGAGGGAUGUCAACUGGAACUCCACAAAUCGCGAUUGUACGAUUUAAUCUUUAAAGAAAAACAUAACAUUUGCCCAAUAUCAUUCAUCUAAACACCUUUUGAGCUAUUUUUCCUCGACUGCGUUUUCAGACACUCUGAAGUGACCAUAUUAUGAUGAUUCAUAUAAGCUUUUUUUUUAUUUCAGAGCAAGUUAUGAGCAUGUAAAAAUUGUAAAUGUUUAUAGUACCUACAUUUUAAAAUGAUCACGAUAAAGUCGUAAUUAAUAACUUCCUCUUCACCAAUACUAUUGCUCCAAUGCGAUGACCAAAAAUCAGAGUAAUUAAAUAACGGUUGUAAUUUUUCAAAUUUCGAACAAUCAUUGUUUCGCAUAUCAUUACGUACAGGUAAUAUGAUGUCAAAAGGUGCAUGUCGAAGAGUGCAGCGGCCCAGGGCGAAGGCCACGAUUGCACCCCUACCAUAGGCCCCGUGUAUUUCGACUCGAACUUGUGUAUGACUGCUACAGAAGAACACUACGACGACGACCUGCACAACUGCUGCAACAAGGACGACGACAGCGACGGCGAUGACUACGACAUAACUCCUAGCCAACGUUAAUCCUCCGACAAAGACCCGUCACGGACAGUGGCGUACCGGUGAUGGCGUUUGAACUUUGGCUCCCCUUUCUCGUGCGUUAGCCCUUUGAUCACGUCUACAACAUGUUCUACAUCGCAGGUACACUGCAGUGGGACUCGUCAACCAUCGUGUUCGUCGUCGUAAUGCAUGGUACACCCAUCCUGCAGCCAUUAUUAGGUAAGUCUAUAAUAUAUUCCCCGUCUGAACCUUGAAAAGUAUAAAUGAUGUUAAAUACUUUAUGGAAGAGACCAAUCCACUUUUAUAAUAACAUGAGAUUCUCUAAUUUUUAAAAAUCACAAAAAACAUUUAAAUAAUUUUAGUUUGAUUUCAAGUCAGUAAUGUUUUAAUUAUUGAAAAAAUGCAGUCAUAUUAUAGAUUUACAGUUAUGCUAACAAAAUAAAUGAUGUACAAAAUUUCAAUGAUGAGCGAAUUUAUUUUACAGAAAACAUAUUACGAUUUACGAGACCUACCUAUACGUUUUAUACCUAUUCUCUGCAGUUGUUUUCUCGACGUUGUGUUUAAAAAUUAAACUACAAUGUGUAAAAUGCAUAUUGUCAUAAAGUUAAUUUUAAUGAUAUAGCAUGCAUGUUCAUUGCUCACACGUACCACUGUAAUAAAUUAAGUUAAAUUUAAUAAAUAACAGCCAUUUGACAUGGCAACAUCAUACAAACAGUCAUCCCUAAAAUAGGUAUAGCACUGACGACAACGGAUCUGUCAGUCAAUUCAUAUUCAUAAUAGCUCGUCGCCUUUCCCUGUGGAGUGUGAUUCCGGGAGUAUUACCUUUUUUGGAUAAGACUUAGAGCAAUGCCGAAAUUACAAAGAACAUGAUUUUGAAUCUUUUAAGAUGUACGACUGUUCUCAAAAUUCGAAACGAUGUUGCCGAAUUUUUGAUGACAAAUUUCAGUUGUUUUACAAUUAUUUUUAAAUUUUA